CGGAGGAUCCAAGCGUUAUCCGGAAUUACUGGGCGUAAAGAGUUGCGUAGGUGGCAUUAUAAGUUGGUAGUGAAAGCGUGGGGCUCAACCCCAUAUCCAUUACCAAAACUGUGAAGCUAGAGGAUGAGAGAGGUCGCUGGAAUUCCCUGUGUAGGAGUGAAAUCCGUAGAUAUAGGGAGGAACACCGAUGGCGUAGGCAGGCGACUGGCUCAUUCCUGACACUAAGGCACGAAAGCGUGGGGAGCAAACGGGAUUAGAUACCCCCGGUAGUCCACGCCGUAAACUAUGGAUGCUAGCUGUUAACCGUAUCGACCCGGUUAGUAGCGAAGCUAACGCGUUAAGCAUCCCGCCUGUGGAGUACGGUCGCAAGACUA
RNAcentral lists this ribosomal RNA (374 nucleotides) under uncultured organism. RNAcentral describes it as "bacterial SSU rRNA". It matches the Rfam family "Bacterial small subunit ribosomal RNA", at positions 526 to 896 of the family's 1533-position model. The record is from RNAcentral.